Non-coding RNA from Parelaphostrongylus tenuis, 72 nucleotides. NCBI's taxonomy places the organism in Eukaryota, Metazoa, Nematoda, Chromadorea, Rhabditida, Metastrongylidae. The record is from the annotation of a GenBank genome assembly.
GCGUCGGUAGUGCAAUGGUUAGCAUACGCUCCCGGAAAGAGUGAUAUCUGCGUUCGAUUCCCGGCUGACGCA